CAGUCGCCGCGGGAAUACGUAGGUGGCAAGCGUUGUCCGGAAUUAUUGGGCGUAAAGCGCGCGCAGGCGGAUAGGUCAGUCUGUCUUAAAAGUUCGGGGCUUAACCCCGUGAUGGGAUGGAAACUGCCAAUCUAGAGUAUCGGAGAGGAAAGUGGAAUUCCUAGUGUAGCGGUGAAAUGCGCAGAUAUUAGGAAGAACACCAGUGGCGAAGGCGACUUUCUGGACGAAAACUGACGCUGAGGCGCGAAAGCCAGGGGAGCGAACGGGAUUAGAUACCCCCGUAGUCCCUGUCUCUUAUACA
This 301-nucleotide ribosomal RNA is filed under the name uncultured bacterium. RNAcentral's name for it is "partial 16S ribosomal RNA". It matches the Rfam family "Bacterial small subunit ribosomal RNA", at positions 509 to 809 of the family's 1533-position model. The record is from RNAcentral.